GUGGGGAAUAUUGGACAAUGGGGGGAACCCUGAUCCAGCCAUGCCGCGUGUGUGAAGAAGGCCUUUUGGUUGUAAAGCACUUUAAGCGAGGAGGAGGCUACCGAGAUUAAUACUCUUGGAUAGUGGACGUUACUCGCAGAAUAAGCACCGGCUAACUCUGUGCCAGCAGCCGCGGUAAUACAGAGGGUGCAAGCGUUAAUCGGAUUUACUGGGCGUAAAGCGCGCGUAGGUGGCCAAUUAAGUCAAAUGUGAAAUCCCCGAGCUUAACUUGGGAAUUGCAUUCUAUACUGGUUGGCUAGAGUAUGGGAGAGGAUGGUAGAAUUCCAGGUGUAGCGGUGAAAUGCGUAGAGAUCUGGAGGAAUACCGAUGGCGAAGGCAGCCAUCUGGCCUAAUACUGACACUGAGGUGCGAAAGCAUGGGGAGCAAACAGGAUUAGAUACCCCUGUAGUCC
RNAcentral lists this ribosomal RNA (451 nucleotides) under uncultured bacterium. RNAcentral describes it as "partial 16S ribosomal RNA". It matches the Rfam family "Bacterial small subunit ribosomal RNA", at positions 354 to 796 of the family's 1533-position model. The record is from RNAcentral.